GACUGGUAAAAUCAGGGUUUAGCUUUCAUGACAGCCAAACCCCGAGAGAGGAGACAGGAAGAUAGAGUCUAAAGGAGAAGAGGGGAUAUUUCUUGAUUCACGUAAACUGGAAAGUGUUGCUUCGUCCAGUGAUUGCUGCCUUAUGGUCACAAGAUGGCUUCUGAAGCUUCAGUCAUCUAAGGAUACCUUAUUCAAAUCAGAAGCUGGAGGAAAGAGCCAUGCCUCAGUGUCUGUUCCUUUUUAACAGAUAUUUGAAGAGAAUGGACCUACUGGCAGAGCCUCAUCAUGAUCCUCGUGUUCAGAUUGGAGAAAAAAACAAGUAAACAUUUUCAUUUGCAAAAUUCUGUCUUAAUGAGAUUUAUGCUUAUAAUU
Mirounga angustirostris (Northern elephant seal) is the source of this 372-nucleotide long non-coding RNA. RefSeq lists it as uncharacterized. The transcript has 3 exons. NCBI's taxonomy places the organism in Eukaryota, Metazoa, Chordata, Mammalia, Carnivora, Phocidae. The record is from RefSeq and is a predicted model, not a curated record.